This is a long non-coding RNA of Platichthys flesus (European flounder), 326 nucleotides long. RefSeq lists it as uncharacterized. The record is from RefSeq and is a predicted model, not a curated record. NCBI's taxonomy places the organism in Eukaryota, Metazoa, Chordata, Actinopteri, Pleuronectiformes, Pleuronectidae. The transcript has 3 exons.
GCGUAGUAACCACCGAGCGCUUGGAAGACAAACGAUGUCAUCUUCCUUCUGUCAGGAGGAUCCAAGUGAAGCUACAGGAGUUUCAUUAACGUCAAUAACUUGGACCGAACACUUUGUUUUGCUUGAUGAAGAGAAGGAAGGGCAGCCUGGAGAGAAAGAGAAGCCGGGUUGAGCCCACUACCAUCAUCCACGUACCACGAGGAAGAUGAGGGAGAGAAAUGAUCCUACCAUUAAAGAGACUGUGAAAAGAACGUUGAGAACAUCACCAUUCUACAGGAAGACACAGUCCAGUAAUGGGUGUCAGAAGUUCAGUAGUGAACGACAGG